UCCACCCAGCACCGCUUUGCUUCCGCUGCUGCAGCCCAGAUUCUGUGCCUCUCCCUGGGCUUGGCUCCCAUCCAUCUGGGGGAUAUUGGAAGCUGUCAGGCUGUGAAACAACUUCCACAGGAGCCUUCCUUCCUUCACUGGGGGAGACAAUGUUCCUCUUAGUGUGGGAUACAGUCACUUCCGUCACAGUUCAACAACCAACACAUUCUGGAUAUUUGGAGGAAAGGAGACGAGCAGAAGGAUCCAUUUCAUACUAUUGAGAUGAACCUGUGGGUAGAGAGAAAGCACUGUAACAGUUCCCAUGUGCUGUGAAGUAACACUAUUCCCUCUUGAGUGAAGAACCCAUGAAAUGUACCUAUGGAGAACCACGACACAGGAUGUCACCUAAAGUAUUGAAACAGGGCAGGGAGUUGGAGACAGUACAGAUGUGGAAACGUAUAGAUCACCCAACGUCAAGACUGAUGUGUUACUCCACAAUUGGCGUCUUCAUAGUGCAGUGACUCUGACUGGGUAAACUCCCCGGCUUCUCUCUCUCUCUCUCUCUCUCUCUCUCUCUCUCUCUCUCUCUCUCUCUCUCUCUACACAACACUGGAUCUGAGAAAAAGAGAAAUAUCUUUGUUUUGAAUCUGAUGGUAACUGUUUAUAUUCCAUGUUGUCGAGAAAGUCUCCUUUCUGACUUCCUCUUGGGGUUUUUUAGACACUCCUAAAGCGGUGCAAUAAAACAACGCCUCACUUUCCUCUCAUCACGGUGCUACUAACACACAGCCUGACAAUAAUGUAUGUUGGUGAUAAAACAACGCCUCACUUUCCUCUCAUCACAGUGCUACUAACACACAGCCUGACAAUAAUGUAUGUUGGUGAUAAAACAACGCCUCACUUUCCUCUCAUCACAGUGCUACUAACACACAGCCUGACAAUAAUGCAUGUUGGUGAUAAAACAACGCCUCACUUUCCUCUCAUCACAUUGCUACUAACACACAGCCUGACAAUAAUGUAUGUUGGUGAUAAAACAACGCCUCACUUUCCUCUCAUCACAGUGCUACUAACACACAGCCUGACAAUAAUGUGUGUUGGAGAUAAAACACAAAGCCUCCCGGUACUCCCCUGUGACUUCCUGACUAACACAGACAGCCAGAAGAGUGACAUUUCACACAACGCUAUCAAUAAAAUCAUUCAUUCUGCUUCUGUUUAUCUUGUUUUGUUCUACUGCGCAAUUUAGCAUUUUUCUACUUCAAUGUUAAUUCCUAAGAAGAUUAAAGAAAGUUAAUUUAGUACAUUUACCUUCUAGAUAUACAUUAGGACCACAGGAGGUUGGUGGUUCCUUAACUGGGGAGGACAAGCUCUUGGUAAUGACUGGAGUGGAAUCAGUGGAAUGGUAUCAAAUCCAUCAAACACCUGGUUUCUAUGUGUUUGAUGUCAUUCCAUUCACUCCGUUCCGGACAUUAUUAUGAGCUGUCCUCCCCUCAGCAGCCUCCUGUGAUUAAGACCUGAAAGGUUGGACCAACUGACAAAGAGGACUUAGGGUCUACUUGGACCUGCACUAGGCCUAGAUCCUACAUCAAUACAUCAACACAAAGGAGUGGUCAUUACAUGAACUUUGAUCAGGGCCACUUCCUAAUGAGUGAUAAAUAAGACCUAUGCAUACCCAUACAGCCUUCUAAUCAAGCGCUCCCAGUUGACGGUGUUAUUGUUCGAUGGUAGGACCGCCGCUUGGCUUUACUGGCUUCUGUUGUUCCACCACAACUAAUUGCCUGAUCGACGGCUCAGAUAAACUCACGUUAUCGGGACGUCGGGGGUGGCGAGGCUAACUACAGCCCACUCCAUCUAAUGAGCUAGAGGCCAGGUUGUAAAGAGAGAAUGAAGAAAGGGGUUUUAUACUCCUAGACUUUAUUUAGUGUGGUUAUCAAUUCUAAUACUUAUAAAGGGACAAAGACCUCCUCACCAAUGUUUAGCUGACAUGUUUAUGUUAGGUUAUAUCGCAGUUUAAUUCACUUGGAUUUGUUGAUUUAGUCACUCUUCAACUACAGUAUGUAUUUGUGUAAUAAACUUCAUAUAAAACGU
Long non-coding RNA from Oncorhynchus masou masou (cherry salmon), 2061 nucleotides. RefSeq lists it as uncharacterized. The record is from RefSeq and is a predicted model, not a curated record. Lineage: Eukaryota; Metazoa; Chordata; Actinopteri; Salmoniformes; Salmonidae. The transcript is spliced from 2 exons.